This 109-nucleotide ribosomal RNA is filed under the name Salmonella enterica subsp. enterica serovar Muenchen. RNAcentral describes it as "partial 16S ribosomal RNA". It matches the Rfam family "Bacterial small subunit ribosomal RNA", at positions 1 to 100 of the family's 1533-position model. Lineage: Bacteria; Pseudomonadati; Pseudomonadota; Gammaproteobacteria; Enterobacterales; Enterobacteriaceae. RNAcentral also lists the same sequence under 13 other names. The record is from RNAcentral.
UUAAAUUGAAGAGUUUGAUCAUGGCUCAGAUUGAACGCUGGCGGCAGGCCUAACACAUGCAAGUCGAACGGUAACAGGAAGCAGCUUGCUGCUUCGCUGACGAGUGGCG